RNAcentral lists this ribosomal RNA (566 nucleotides) under uncultured archaeon. RNAcentral's name for it is "bacterial SSU rRNA". It matches the Rfam family "Archaeal small subunit ribosomal RNA", at positions 258 to 824 of the family's 1478-position model. The record is from RNAcentral.
CUACGACGGGUACGGGUUGUGAGAGCAAGAGCCCGGAGAUGGAUUCUGAGACACGAAUCCAGGCCCUACGGGGUGCAGCAGGCGCGAAAACUUUACAAUGCCGGCAACGGCGAUAAGGGGACCUCGAGUGCCAGGUUACAAAUCUGGCUGUCGUGAUGCCUAAAAAGCAUUGCAUAGCAAGGGCCGGGCAAGACCGGUGCCAGCCGCCGCGGUAACACCGGCGGCUCGAGUGGUAACCGUUAUUAUUGGGUCUAAAGGGUCUGUAGCCGGCCGGAUAAGUCUCUUGAGAAAUCCAGCAGCUCAACUGUUGGGCUUUCAGGAGAUACUGUUCGGCUCGAGGCCGGGAGAGGUGAGAGGUACUUCAGGGGUAGGGGUGAAAUCUUGUAAUCCUUGAAGGACCACCAGUGGCGAAGGCGUCUCACCAGAACGGACCUGACGGCAAGGGACGAAAGCUAGGGGCACGAACCGGAUUAGAUACCCGGGUAGUCCUAGCCGUAAACGAUACUCGCUAGGUGUCGGCCACGGUGCGACCGUUGUCGGUGCCGUAGGGAAGCCGUGAAGCGAGC